CCUGAAAAGGAAGUGUAAGCCAUUGUGUUAGUAAUUCCCAGAUUUCCUGCACCCAGACAUUUUCCUAGGAGCUGGUCUCAGUCCCAUAUCCGCAUUUCUCAUCCAUGGAUGUCCACUCAGAUUAGGUUUCAUCCUGGACCAGUCAUUCUAAAUAAAUACAGCGUGUGCUAGAUGGAACCCCUUGUUUCUACCCCACAGUCUAUUUCCCAGCUCUCCCUGAGGCUGAGAGAAGUUGAAGUCCUGCCAGACAAUGCAGUGUGA
Sapajus apella (tufted capuchin) is the source of this 261-nucleotide long non-coding RNA. RefSeq lists it as uncharacterized. The record is from RefSeq and is a predicted model, not a curated record. The transcript has 3 exons. NCBI's taxonomy places the organism in Eukaryota, Metazoa, Chordata, Mammalia, Primates, Cebidae.